GCCCCGAUAGCUUAGACCCCCUUAAAGCAUUGGCCUUGUAAACCAAAGACGGGCCCCGGCCCUCAGGGCA
Molecule: transfer RNA, 70 nt
Filed under: Quedenfeldtia trachyblepharus (Atlas day gecko)
Lineage: Eukaryota; Metazoa; Chordata; Lepidosauria; Squamata; Sphaerodactylidae
Description: tRNA-Thr
Source: RNAcentral